Molecule: ribosomal RNA, 820 nt
Filed under: uncultured marine bacterium
Lineage: Bacteria
Description: bacterial SSU rRNA
Rfam family: Bacterial small subunit ribosomal RNA
Source: RNAcentral
AACGUACGCUGGCGGCACGCCUAACACAUGCAAGUCGAACGAAGUAGCAAUACUUAGUGGCAGACGGGUGAGUAUCAUGUAGGUAUCUGCCCUUUGGCCUGGAAUAACACGAGGAAACUUGUGCUAAUACCGGAUAAGUCUUUACGGAGAAAGCUUUAUGCACCAUUGGAUGAGCCUGCACUUGAUUAGUUUGUUGGUGGGGUAAUGGCCUACCAAGACUGUGAUCAAUAGCUGAUUUGAGAGGAUGAUCAGCCACAUUGGGACUGAGACACGGCCCAGACUCCUACGGGAGGCAGCAGUGGGGAAUCUUGCACAAUGGGGGAAACCCUGAUGCAGCGAUGCCGCGUGAGUGAAGAAGGCCUUUGGGUUGUAAAGCUCUUUCGUCGGGGAAGAAAAUGACUGUACCCGAAUAAGAAGGUCCGGCUAACUUCGUGCCAGCAGCCGCGGUAAUACGAAGGGACCUAGCGUAGUUCGGAAUUACUGGGCUUAAAGAGUUCGUAGGUGGUUGAAAAAGUUGGUGGUGAAAUCCCAGAGCUUAACUCUGGAACUGCCAUCAAAACUUUUCAGCUAGAGUAUGAUAGAGGAAAGCAGAAUUUCUAGUGUAGAGGUGAAAUUCGUAGAUAUUAGAAAGAAUACCAAUUGCGAAGGCAGCUUUCUGGAUCAUUACUGACACUGAGGAACGAAAGCAUGGGUAGCGAAGAGGAUUAGAUACCCUCGUAGUCCAUGCCGUAAACGAUGUGUGUUAGACGUUGGAAAUUUAUUUUCAGUGUCGCAGCGAAAGCGAUAAACACACCGCCUGGGAAGUACGGUCGCAAGAUUA